This is a small nucleolar RNA of Pseudophryne corroboree (corroboree frog), 66 nucleotides long. RefSeq annotates it as small nucleolar RNA U54. NCBI's taxonomy places the organism in Eukaryota, Metazoa, Chordata, Amphibia, Anura, Myobatrachidae. The transcript has a single exon. The record is from RefSeq and is a predicted model, not a curated record.
CAGCAAUGAGGAUGAUAACUUUGUAUGAGUAACAGUGAUUCACCUAUACGCUAUUCUGAGCUGACC